AGAGUUUGAUCCUGGCUCAGAUCGAACGUUAGCGGGAGGCUUAACACAUGCAAGUCGAGCGAGAACAGGGACUUCGGUCCCUUAGUAAAGCGGCGGACGGGUGAGUAACACGUGGAUAAUCUGCCCUUUGGCGGGGGACAACAGCUCGAAAGGGUUGCUAAUACCGCAUAAGUCUAGUCAGCCUUUGGGUUGAUUAGGGAAAGAUGGCCUCUUCUUGAAAGCUAUCACCGAAGGAUGAGUCCGCGUAGCAUCAGCUAGUUGGUGGGGUAAUGGCCUACCAAGGCUAAGACGCUUAGCUGGUCUGAGAGGAUGAUCAGCCACACUGGGACUGAGAUACGGCCCAGACUCCUACGGGAGGCAGCAGUGGGGAAUAUUAGACAAUGGGCGCAAGCCUGAUCUAGCCAUCCCGCGUGAGUGAUGAAGGCUUUCGGGUCGUAAAGCUCUGUGGGGAGAGACGAAACAGUAAGGGAACAAUACCCCUUGCUCUGACGGUAUCUCUUUAGCAAGCACCGGCUAACUCCGUGCCAGCAGCCGCGGUAAUACGGGGGGUGCAAACGUUGCUCGGAAUCAUUGGGCGUAAAGCGCGCGUAGGCGGCCUCUAUUAAGCAAGAUGUGAAAGCCCAGGGCUCAACCUUGGAACUGCAUUUUUGAACUGGUAGACUAGAGUACUGUAGAGGGUGGUGGAAUUUCCAGUGUAGCGGUGAAAUGCGUAGAGAUUGGAAGGAACAUCAGUGGCGAAGGCGGCCACCUGGACAGAUAACUGACGCUGAGGAACGAAAGCGUGGGGAGCGAACAGGAUUAGAUACCCUGGUAGUCCACGCCGUAAACGAUGUCAACUAGCCGUUUGUGGACUUGAUCCGUGAGUGGCGCAGCUAACGCACUAAGUUGACCGCGCCUGGGGAGUACGGCCGCAAGGGUAAAACUCAAAUGAAUUGACGGGGGCCCGCACAAGCGGUGUAGCAUGUGGGGUUUAAUUCGAAGCAACGCGAAGAACCUUACCUACUCUUGACAUCCUCAGAACUUAGCAGAGAUGCUUUGGUGCCUUCGGGAACUGAGUGACAGGUGCUGCAUGGCUGUCGUCAGCUCGUGUUGUGAAAUGUUGGGUUAAGUCCCGUAACGAGCGCAACCCUUGUCCUUAUUUGCCAGCACGUAAUGGUGGGAACUUUAAGGAGACUGCCGGUGACAAACCGGAGGAAGGUGGGGACGACGUCAAGUCAUCAUGGCCCUUAUGAGUAGGGCUACACACGUGCUACAAUGGCCGGUACAGAGGGCAGCAAGACCGCGAGGUGGAGCAAAUCCCAGAAAGCUGGUCGUAGUCCGGAUUGGAGUCUGCAACUCGACUCCAUGAAGUCGGAAUCGCUAGUAAUCGCGAAUCAGAAUGUCGCGGUGAAUACGUUCCCGGGCCUUGUACACACCGCCCGUCACACCAUGGGAGUGGGUUGCACCAGAAGUGGUUAGUCUAACCUUCGGGAGGACGAUCACCACGGUGUGAUUCAUGACUGGGGUGAAGUCGUAACAAGGUAGCC
RNAcentral lists this ribosomal RNA (1526 nucleotides) under uncultured prokaryote. RNAcentral describes it as "partial 16S ribosomal RNA". It matches the Rfam family "Bacterial small subunit ribosomal RNA". The record is from RNAcentral.